RNAcentral lists this ribosomal RNA (253 nucleotides) under uncultured bacterium. RNAcentral describes it as "partial 16S ribosomal RNA". It matches the Rfam family "Bacterial small subunit ribosomal RNA", at positions 524 to 776 of the family's 1533-position model. The record is from RNAcentral.
UACAGAGGGUGCGAGCGUUAAUCGGAAUUACUGGGCGUAAAGCGUGCGUAGACGGCUAUCUAAGUCGGGUGUGAAAGCCCCGGGCUCAACCUGGGAAUUGCAUUCGAGACUGAAUAGCUAGGGUACGGUAGAGGGAAGUGGAAUUUCCGGUGUAGCGGUGAAAUGCGUAGAUAUCGGGAGGAACACCUGUGGCGAAAGCGGCGCACUGGACCAUAACUGACGCUGAUGCGCGAAAGCUAGGGGAGCAAACAGG